This 519-nucleotide ribosomal RNA is filed under the name Metschnikowia koreensis. Its description in RNAcentral is "eukaryotic LSU rRNA". It matches the Rfam family "Eukaryotic large subunit ribosomal RNA", at positions 17 to 498 of the family's 3401-position model. The record is from RNAcentral. Lineage: Eukaryota; Fungi; Ascomycota; Pichiomycetes; Serinales; Metschnikowiaceae.
AAGACUACCCGCUGAACUUAAGCAUAUCAAUAAGCGGAGGAAAAGAAACCAACAGGGAUUGCCUCAGUAACGGCGAGUGAAGCGGCAAAAGCUCAAAUUUGAAAUCCUCCGGGAAUUGUAAUUUGAAGGUGGGGUUGAAUAGGUCUAGAUACUUUAAGUCCAUUGGAAAAUGGCGCCAUGGAGGGUGAUAGCCCCGUAAAAGUAUUCAAACCUUCUUUUCUUCCCCUCCUAAGAGUCGAGUUGUUUGGGAAUGCAGCUCUAAGUGGGUGGUAAAUUCCAUCUAAAGCUAAAUAUUGGCGAGAGACCGAUAGCGAACAAGUACAGUGAUGGAAAGAUGAAAAGCACUUUGAAAAGAGAGUGAAAAAGUACGUGAAAUUGUUGAAAGGGAAGGGCUUGCAAGCAGACACAACCUCGGUUGGGCCAGCAUCGGAGUGGGGGGAGACAAAAAAGGUUAGGAAUGUAGCUCAUCUCGAGUAUUAUAUCCUGGCCCUAUAUCUCCACCCCCUUCCGAGGCCUGCG